Molecule: transfer RNA, 58 nt
Filed under: Cyrtarachne nagasakiensis
Lineage: Eukaryota; Metazoa; Arthropoda; Arachnida; Araneae; Araneidae
Description: tRNA-Ser
Source: RNAcentral
GACUUUAUUUUGAAAAAUGUUUUGAAAGCAUUUUAAAAGAAAUAAUUCUUUAAAGUCA